UGGCUUUACCUGAAGGCGGUGCUAACCCGCAAGGGAGGCGCGACCACGGUAGGUAGCGACUGGGGUGAAGUCGUAACAAGGUAGCCGUAGGUGAACCUGCAGAAGGAUCA
This 110-nucleotide ribosomal RNA is filed under the name uncultured eukaryote. RNAcentral's name for it is "partial small subunit ribosomal RNA". The record is from RNAcentral.